GAUGAACGCUGGCGGCGUGCCUAAUACAUGCAAGUCGAGCGAACAGACGAGGAGCUUGCUCCUCUGACGUUAGCGGCGGACGGGUGAGUAACACGUGGAUAACCUACCUAUAAGACUGGGAUAACUUCGGGAAACCGGAGCUAAUACCGGAUAAUAUAUUGAACCGCAUGGUUCAAUAGUGAAAGACGGUUUUGCUGUCACUUAUAGAUGGAUCCGCGCCGCAUUAGCUAGUUGGUAAGGUAACGGCUUACCAAGGCAACGAUGCGUAGCCGACCUGAGAGGGUGAUCGGCCACCCUGGAACGGAGACACGGUCCAGACUCCUACGGGAGGCAGCAGUAGGGAAUCUUCCGCAAUGGGCGAAAGCCUGACGGAGCAACGCCGCGUGAGUGAUGAAGGUCUUCGGAUCGUAAAACUCUGUUAUUAGGGAAGAACAAAUGUGUAAGUAACUAUGCACGUCUUGACGGUACCUAAUCAGAAAGCCACGGCUAACUACGUG
This 497-nucleotide ribosomal RNA is filed under the name uncultured bacterium. Its description in RNAcentral is "partial 16S ribosomal RNA". It matches the Rfam family "Bacterial small subunit ribosomal RNA", at positions 28 to 507 of the family's 1533-position model. The record is from RNAcentral.